AUGUUCCAGCUCUGUUAGCUCAACUCAACUCAUAUGAUAGGUGGGCUUCGAAAUUGGCUAGGUUCCGGGCAACAAGAGUAGGGAGAGCACCAGGUUCAUCUAAGGGUACACACGACUUUGAGUUACAGGCUUAGCCAUGUCUUUCAAUCGCUGGGGGUAAUCUUUUAUAAGAUGUUGGGUGCUUCCGCACCAAUAGAAAGCGUGAUUGAUACGCUGAUAGG
This 221-nucleotide long non-coding RNA is filed under the name Carica papaya (papaya). RNAcentral's name for it is "long non-coding RNA (CPAP_LNC005853)". The record is from RNAcentral. Lineage: Eukaryota; Viridiplantae; Streptophyta; Magnoliopsida; Brassicales; Caricaceae.